AUCGAACUUUAUCAAGCUUAAACUUAGUGGCAUCAGUUCUUUCUCAAAAAAAAAAAUUUUUCAAAAAGAAUGCCUUAUUGCUGACGAACACCUUUUGUUCUUCAGCAUGGUAGAAGUAAUAUGCCCUAAACUUCUUAAGGUACCCUACAAAUAACCACUUAUAAAAUCAAGGUCCAAGCUUAUCGAUCUAUAAAUAUUUUAUAUAAACUGAACAACCCCUA
Molecule: long non-coding RNA, 221 nt
Filed under: Elaeis guineensis (African oil palm)
Lineage: Eukaryota; Viridiplantae; Streptophyta; Magnoliopsida; Arecales; Arecaceae
Description: long non-coding RNA (EGUI_LNC058207)
Source: RNAcentral